CUCACAUUGCGUGGAACCUGACAAAGUCUCUAGCCUUUUCUGGAAACAGGGUCUUACAUGCGCCAGGCUGGCAUCAAAAUCACUGUGGAGCCGAGAUCGACCUUGUACUUCUGAUCCUACUGCCUCCACCUUCCAAUUGCCGGGACUGGCGUGUUACCACCAAUGAUGAGAACAGAACCAAGAGCUGACGAAAGUGAGCAAGCGCUUGGCCAGCUGAGCUGGACCCACGAGCACAAGUCUCUAGACUUUGACUAUCACUAUUCUGGAAGAUAAGAGGGACCAGAACGUGGCACCUGGGAGCAUAAGGAUGCAGCCUGCUGAACUAUCCAGACUCAGAAUGUGGGAACUUCUGCCGGACAACAGCUCCUUCCAUACGUGAACUGUAUGGAAAACAAGGGCUGGGAAGGAGGAGAGGGGAAAUCACCAGGGCCUCCUGGCCAGUCAGGAGAGCCUACUGUGCAAGUUUCCGAUCAGCAUGGGACCUGGUCUCUAAAAGCAAGAUCCUACUGCGCCAGAGGAACCACACCCAAGGCAUGCACGUGACUGUGGACGCCAGAGGAGACCAGCAGAGCUGGAGUUGAGCAGUGGCAGGCAGUUGUGAGUCACCCAGUGUGGGUGGUGGGACCCGAUCUCGGUCCUCCGCAAGAGCAGCAAGCACCAUUAGCUUCAAGCUCUCCCUCCAGCCUUCAAGCCUCUUCUUAGAUGUAGGGGUCUCCAAACCAGAGUUCCAGACAGAGCUCCCUGCACGGACGGCGGACGGCAGGGCCUGUGCACUGCGCCGCCGAGCUGCUAGCCCAUGUGUGGCGUGGAACACAUGAUGAAGAGGAUGCACUUCUUACUCUGAUUCUUUUAAACGGAAGGAGCUCUAUUUGCGCAGCACCGCUCUCUCACUGCUAGUAGGUUCCGUCUGUGCUAAGAAGCAAACGGCACUGCAGGAGCAUAGCCACUGGCAGCCAUGCUUGUCCGCACGCUGCAGACCCUGCACUGGUCCCCAGUGUUGAUUGGGAGGAGGAGCGGACAGCAGCGUCCGUGUCACGACCCCUGCCUUCCAAGUCUUUCUUGGAUCCUGGCCCCUUAGUUACUUGGGAUGCUGCAGAAUACACAUAUCAGAAAGUCACUUUGGUCCAGGAAGCAGAAACAACCAAGGGCAUGAAGCUAGCUCCACCUCUGGAGUAAACGAUACAUUUACACAUUAUGGACACCCAUUUUGCCCUUUUCUGUCCUGAGUCUGCCUCAUUUGGUACAUUUGGCAAACUGGCUGACUACUUUUCCACCCCACAGCAGCGAGCACGGCCACAAAAAGUUCCUGCGAUUUGAUUUCCUCCACUCAACAUACCAGCUGGGCCGAGGCUGCGUUUGUCGGUGUUCGUGCCAAACACGUCUGGCGAGGUGCCAAUCGCCCUAGGGUGGCUGGCCUAGGUGUGCAGCCUUGCUCUGGAUCCCUGUGACUGAGGACAGGUCAGCCUUAGCUGUAUGAACAGCUGUAUGAGCAGUGUGGCUCAAGAGGAAAACGAACCAGAUAAGAAGUGGGGCUUGGGUAGAGAAGCCCAUGGGAGGUGACCACAGUGCUCACCCUGUCACUUGGUGACCUGGUCCUUUACUGAGUUGUAUAGUGUGUCUCUCCAGCCUCCUUUGAUGGAAGUUUCCUUAUCUUGUGUUCCAUUACACAGGGCUCUGCUGCUAGGUGACUAAUUAAUCUGAUAUAGGCAGCAAACGACAGCGAAGACUCUGAACAUCAGUUUCCUCACUGAGCAAGUGAGGACAAAAUGGCCUACCUUGAGCCAGGUGUGGUGACACGUACCUUUAAUCCCAGCACUUGGGAGGCAGGUUUCUGUCAUUUCAAGCUCUACAGAACAAGUUCAGGGACAGCUAAGGUUAUUACACAGAGAAACCGUGCCUCCGAAAAUGAAAAAAUAAAAACAAAAAAGGCCAGCCUAGAAAUGGGGGGUUGGAGACUAGUAAUAAAAAUUAAUGUCAAUAAUACUUAUUUCCUUCUAAUAAACACAUUUUUCAGUUUAGUCUAUGUAUAUCAAUAAAACUGACUUGUCUUCUGGGCCAUUUGACAUGUGUCAGAAUGCAGUGAGACAGAGACUCUUAGUGGCCUUCAAAUCAUAGAGCUCUAUAUCCUUUCAAAUGUUAAUGUGAUUAUGUGAACGGAUGGUGUGUGUGUGGAUGUGUGAGCCACAGCACACAUGAAAAGUCAGAGAACAGCCUGUGAAGCUGGUCCCCCUUCGAUCUUACAUGGGUUCCAGGUAUCAGACUCAGGUCAAUGGGCAUGCAUGGCAAGUGUCUUUAUCCCCUGAGUCAUCAUGUCAACUCUGUAUUAUUUUUAAAAAUAUCACCAAAUCCAUCCUGCCUAUAAUUUAGAUUUGAAAAGAAAGAAUAAACCAUUCUCAUAUUCAAGGGUAAUAAUCUAUCGAACUGCAGAGACCACAGAGAUCUACGGGGACCCACGGAGACCCACGGAGACCCACAGAGCCCACAGAGAUCCACAGUCAAAUAUGGGAGUGCCAAAUUCAGGGAAUCCUGAAGAAGAGAGGGAGGAAGGACUCCGUAGGAGCCAAAGGAGUCAAGAACAUCACAAGAAAACCCACAGAAUCAACUAAUCUGGCUCACAGAGUCUGAACCAACAACCAGGGAGCUUGCCUGGGGCUGAUCUAGGUCCUUAACAUGUAUGUGACAGAUGUGGUCUACUUGCUGUCCCUGAUGCUUUGGCUGGCUUUGGGGACCCUAUUCCUCACACUGGAUAGCCUUGUCUCCUUAAUAUAAGGGGAGGAGCUUAGUCUUACUGCAACUUGAUAUGCCAUGCUUUGUUGAUGUCCAUGGGAGGCCUGGCCCUUUCUGAACAGAAGCAGAGGAGUGGAUUAUGGGGGAAGAAUGUGAGGAGAGGGGGGAAACUGCGGCCAGGAUGUAAAAUAAA
Myodes glareolus (Bank vole) is the source of this 2920-nucleotide long non-coding RNA. RefSeq lists it as uncharacterized. Lineage: Eukaryota; Metazoa; Chordata; Mammalia; Rodentia; Cricetidae. The record is from RefSeq and is a predicted model, not a curated record.